RNAcentral lists this ribosomal RNA (574 nucleotides) under Pygoplites diacanthus. RNAcentral's name for it is "partial large subunit ribosomal RNA". It matches the Rfam family "Bacterial large subunit ribosomal RNA", at positions 1816 to 2597 of the family's 2925-position model. Lineage: Eukaryota; Metazoa; Chordata; Actinopteri; Pomacanthidae. The record is from RNAcentral.
CGCCUCUUGCAAAAUUAACAAAUAAGAGGUCCCGCCUGCCCUGUGACUAUACGUUUAACGGCCGCGGUAUUUUGACCGUGCAAAGGUAGCGCAAUCACUUGUCUUUUAAAUGGAGACCUGUAUGAAUGGCAUAACGAGGGCUUAACUGUCUCUUCUUUCAAGUCAAUGAAAUUGAUCUCCCCGUGCAGAAGCGGGGAUAUGUACAUAAGACGAGAAGACCCUGUGAAGCUUAAGGCACCAAGACAGACUAUGUUAAGUACCCUAGCCUAAUAGAUAAAACAACUUAUACCCUGCCCUAAUGCCUUCGGUUGGGGCGACCACGGGGAAAUGAAAAACCCCCAUGUAGAACGGGAAUACAAUUCCUACAACCCAGAGCCCCCGCUCUAAUAAACAGAACCUCUGACUAACAAGAUCCGGCAGCGCCGAUCAACGGACCAAGUUACUCCAGGGAUAACAGCGCAAUCCCCUUUUAGAGCCCAUAUCGACAAGGGGGUUUACGACCUCGAUGUUGGAUCAGGACAUCCUAAUGGUGCAGCCGCUAUUAAGGGUUCGUUUGUUCAACGAUUAAAGUCCU